UAGGGAAUUUUCCGCAAUGGGCGAAAGCCUGACGGAGCAAUGCCGCGUGGAGGUGGAAGGCCUACGGGUCGUCAACUUCUUUUCUCGGAGAAGAAACAAUGACGGUAUCUGAGGAAUAAGCAUCGGCUAACUCUGUGCCAG
RNAcentral lists this ribosomal RNA (141 nucleotides) under uncultured bacterium. RNAcentral's name for it is "partial 16S rRNA". It matches the Rfam family "Bacterial small subunit ribosomal RNA", at positions 355 to 511 of the family's 1533-position model. The record is from RNAcentral.